UACAGAGGUGGCAAGCGUUGUUCGGAAUUACUGGGCGUAAAGGGCGCGUAGGCGGCCAUCUAAGUCAGACGUGAAAUCCCCCGGCUUAACCUGGGAACUGCGUCUGAUACUGGAAGGCUUGAGUAUGGGAGAGGGAUGUAGAAUUCCAGGUGUAGCGGUGAAAUGCGUAGAUAUCUGGAGGAACACCGGUGGCGAAGGCGGCAUCCUGGGCCGGUAUUGACGCUGAGGAGCGAAAGCCAGGGGAGCAAACGGG
Molecule: ribosomal RNA, 253 nt
Filed under: uncultured bacterium
Lineage: Bacteria
Description: partial 16S ribosomal RNA
Rfam family: Bacterial small subunit ribosomal RNA
Source: RNAcentral